GAUGAACGCUAGCGGCAGGCCUAACACAUGCAAGUCGAGGGGCAUCGCGGUGCAGCAAUGCACUGGCGGCGACCGGCGUACGGGUGCGUAACGCGUAUGCAACCUGCCCCGCACCGGGGGAUAGCCCGCCGAAAGGCGGAUUAAUACCCCAUGGCCCCGGGGGCCCGCAUGGGCAUCCGGGUAAAGCUUUGGCGGUGCGGGAUGGGCAUGCGUGCCAUUAGCUGGCUGGUGGGGUAACGGCCCACCAGGGCAACGAUGGCUAGGGGGUCUGAGAGGAUGGUCCCCCACACUGGUACUGAGACACGGACCAGACUCCUACGGGAGGCAGCAGUGAGGAAUAUUGGUCAAUGGGCGGAAGCCUGAACCAGCCAUGCCGCGUGCGGGAUGAAGGCCCUACGGGUUGUAAACCGCUUUUCCCCGGGAAGAAUAAGCCCCCGCGGGGUGAGUGCCGGUACCGGGGAAGUAAGGAUCGGCUAACUCCGUG
This 484-nucleotide ribosomal RNA is filed under the name uncultured bacterium. Its description in RNAcentral is "bacterial SSU rRNA". It matches the Rfam family "Bacterial small subunit ribosomal RNA", at positions 28 to 507 of the family's 1533-position model. The record is from RNAcentral.